Long non-coding RNA from Felis catus (domestic cat), 684 nucleotides. RefSeq lists it as uncharacterized. The transcript has 3 exons. The record is from RefSeq and is a predicted model, not a curated record. NCBI's taxonomy places the organism in Eukaryota, Metazoa, Chordata, Mammalia, Carnivora, Felidae.
CAUGACUCUACUUGUUAUCAAAACUUCCCAGUCUGUCGUGAAAUUGGCUAUGUUAUUCCUUUAGAACACAGUUGGAGAGAAAAGAACUCUCCACGGGGUCCUUGUCAAAGCACGGAAAAUAAAACUCUCCGACUCCUCUUUCCUACUUCACCAUCCUAAACGCCUAAACCCAAACUAGGAACCGCGGGCACUGCCUUCUCUCCCGGACUCAUCUGUCGCUGCGGAACCCCUCCUCCUCCCAGCCGCGUUUGGGUCCAGUGUGCGACUCGGAAGGCUUUCUUUCCUGUCUGCCGCUCCUCCCCGCCUUUCUUCCCCCGCUGCCACCUCUGGAGGAACCUGCGCGACGCCGGGUGCCAGGUACCGAGUGCCCAGUGCCGGGAGCCGGGUCUCCGGAGGGCCCUGCGUGCAGGUGCGCGAGGUCCGUGCGGCUGCCCUGCGAGUGCGUCGGGAGAACUGCGCUUGCAGGUGUACGACAGUAAACUAAAUAAUUAGCAGAAGUCAAUAAAUGGACACCCAGUUCAGCCACUGAAGAAAGUCUAAGUACGCUGGGAGCAACUUGGGCAUAUGAAUCCCCUUUUUCAACUGUAAACGUUAUGAAAUCUAAGUACGCAUCCAGUUUUUCCGAUGAAAAUAUAACGCCCGAGUGUGCAACCUGCUGUCUGUUGAGUGUCCAAUACAUACUGG